Molecule: non-coding RNA, 112 nt
Organism: Acanthosepion pharaonis
Lineage: Eukaryota; Metazoa; Mollusca; Cephalopoda; Sepiida; Sepiidae
Source: the annotation of a GenBank genome assembly
AGGGCCAUAUCAUGUUGAAACAUUGGUUCUCGUACGAUCACCAAAGUUAAACAACAUUGAGCCUGGUCACUACCUAGAUGGGUGACCCCCUUAGGAAUACCAGGUGCUGUAA